UUGUAUUAACUCAAUUUACGCGUUUACUCGUUGGAUAAAUCGUACAAAAACAGAAUCAUCUGCAUUCAUAGAACGACUGAGAUCAGCUUGAGCCGCCCUCACCUCCACACGCGCAGACGGCGCCUCGCCCUUCGCCCGCAGACGCCACAUCACCCUCGCCCCUCCACCGCACUCAGAUUGCAUUCCCCCCUCCACCGUGCCGCCCCCGACGACGCAUCGUCGCCGCACCGCCGCCGCCUUCGCUCCUGCCCCCGCGAACGACGCCGCCGCGACCGACGUCGUCCUCCUCAUGCACCGCUUCUCCAUCCGGCCUCACCCAAAACCCUCUCCCACCACCGUUACACCCACCGCCGCCCCAACCCCAUCCCCUUCCCCCACGGCCUCAAACAGGGGUGGAGCUCCCAUCGACCCCGGCCGGAACCACCCCCUCCUCGUGUCGGUGUCCCAACGAGCCAUUCCAAUCUCUCCAUCUCCAAUGGUGCGGCGGCAGCAGCGAAAGGCCGGAGGAGGCGAGAUGAUUGCGCCUCUAUGGCAUCUGCGGGGCUGCCGGGCCGGCUAAGGACGGGUGGGUUACGGUGCGGCGGCGUGCAGCGUAGCGGCAGGUAGGAGGCGCAAGGCGGCAGGUGGUCGAGGUGCGGUCGCGCGGCACGGGCACAGGCAGCCGGCGGGCGGUGUCCACUCAGGCAGCCGCGCAGGACGGCAGAAGCCACUGACGCUAAGGGUCGGGCCGGCCGGCUCGUUGUCGUCCUGACCUGUACAUCUGUGUGCAGGUGCAGCACUGCAGUUCAGAUUUCCUCUCUGAACAUUGAAGACUGCAAUCUGCAUGAUGAGAUACUACAGUCAGACUGAUGCAGAGAUAGAGACUACAUGCCUUCAGUUUAAAGUUUCAGAAAAAGGGGUCGAUCUAGAUAGAAAGUGCAGCUAACCAGCCGAUUGAUGUAGCACGCACAAGGUAAUCAUCAUUUCUGAAGGAAAGAAGCAAACUGUGGAGGUGCCGGCCUUGGCUGCUCUCUCGCGGAUUUUCUGCAAGUCGAGGAUUAGAUCAUCCCCAGGUACUUGUAACUUGCAUGUUCGCAAUGAAAUUCAUGCUGAUUUUAACUUAUGUUGCUCUGCUCACGUAUCCAUCCAUUUUUCUCAGUCAUAGUUGAUUAUUGAUAGCAUGUAAGUUACAUGCUCACAUUUUCACAUUAAAAAAAUAUUAUGCCAUCUAUAAAAUAGUUUUAUUUACAAUUUUAGAUCUAACUAUUGGUAAUCUUUUCUACUUUAAAUCACCAAAAUUUGCUACUACAAAAUGCGUUGGUACCGUGGAAUAAUUUACUGGUGAGAUGUUUGUUGGGGAUUAAAGUUGCCAGAUGACUCGAACGAUAUAAUUAGGACAUGCUUAACUUACCGUCUGGUUUGUGUGGUCCAUUUGGUACAAAUUACGUGGAUUAGAAACACGUCGAUAAGCGAAAUUGCAGAAGAUAUAUUUUUUUGGAGCUUUAUCUGUCGUGAAUAUUUUAUUGGCUAAUUGAGCGAUCUACAAUUCAUAUCCUAUAAAAAGCUCUAGAACUUGAAUUUUGUUUAUUCCCCCUUUUUCUGUAACCCCACACUCUUUCAUGGCCUUUAUGCAAUUUUUUCUAUUUUAAUGGAUAACCUUUUGCAAAUUCUCAUACCAAUGAAAUAAUGUGGAACCUUUAUUCUGGUUAUAUUGGAUCAAAAUACAAGAAAACUCUACAUAGUAGAUCCUAAUCCUCUUAAUCCUAUUUAAAAAAUAACCCGAAUGUAAGAUAUGUCAAAAAGUUAUUACGCCUUGCCGAGCACUUCAGAAAAGCCAUACACAUAGAAUCUCCUAGAUCUAGGUGGGUUGAAGAUAUAAACCUUUGUAGUCAAAUAAAUGUUCCAAAUGUGCCAAUUCACAAGAGGUAUGUUUUAUUCCAAAAUUUCACUAGUGAAACAUCCAAUUUAUUUUUUCUUACAAAUCAAAGGCAUGUAACUAUUGAAUCUUGUCAGUGAACUAUCUGGUUGUCUUGUUCUUCUUUUCAUGCGUGCAUGGAGAAAUGAUGAACUACAAUUUUCUGGUUUCAAGUUGUUACCUCACGUAGAAUUCUUACCAAAACUAUGCUGCCUAAAAAGGAGCCGCUACAAAGAAAUAUUUGGAAAUGAAGCUUGCACAUGGUUACAGCACAGAUUGAAGACAGGACCCGAAAUCUCUCUUCCCCUGGUCAAGAAGAAUAUGAACCGUAUUAGCCAGCUGUCUAUUAUGCAUUUGGGGUCUAUGUUUGAUAUUUGUUUGCUUGAAACAGAGGUUUAUAAUGAUGCCGUUCUUUCCAUAUAAAACAUUUCAAUUUGUUAUAUAUUCUAUUUUUUCAUUAAUUGCUUAAGGAGCAACACCUGAUUCUUUGUCUAUUUUUUUUACUUUUUUAUAUAUGUAGCCAGCCAUACCGUUAGUUCCAAAAGUUCAAGGUUCUUAAUGUUUGGUGCAUUGAUAUUUGUAUACGGUACUUGUAAAAAGCACAAUAUGCUCGUUUGAGACACUGG
Oryza brachyantha (malo sina) is the source of this 2520-nucleotide long non-coding RNA. RefSeq lists it as uncharacterized. The transcript is spliced from 6 exons. The record is from RefSeq and is a predicted model, not a curated record. Lineage: Eukaryota; Viridiplantae; Streptophyta; Magnoliopsida; Poales; Poaceae.